Molecule: ribosomal RNA, 393 nt
Filed under: uncultured bacterium
Lineage: Bacteria
Description: partial 16S ribosomal RNA
Rfam family: Bacterial small subunit ribosomal RNA
Source: RNAcentral
AUACGGAAGGUCCGGGCGUUAUCCGGAUUUAUUGGGUUUAAAGGGAGCGCAGGCGAAGAUGCAAGCGUGACGUCAAAUUUCGGGGCUCAACCCCGUCUCGCGUCGCGAACUGCGUCCCUUGGUUGCGGGAAGGGGAGGCGGAACUCGUGGUGUAGCGGUGAAAUGCAUAGAUAUCACGAAGAACUCCGAUCGCGAAGGCAGCCUUCCGGCCCGUCAACGACGCUCAUGCUCGAAGGUGCGGGUAUCAAACAGGAUUAGAUACCCUGGUAGUCCGCACAGUAAACGAUGGACACCCGCGGUUUGGCCUAUAUGGCUGAGCCGCCAAGCGAAAGCGUUAAGUGUCCCACCUGGGGAGUACGCCGGCAACGGUGAAACUCAAAUGAAUUGACGGGG